AGACCCGAAACCCGGUGAUCUAGCCAUGGGCAGGUUGAAGGUUGGGUAACACUAACUGGAGGACCGAACCGACUAAUGUUGAAAAAUUAGCGGAUGACCUGUGGCUGGGGGUGAAAGGCCAAUCAAACCGGGAGAUAGCUGGUUCUCCCCGAAAGCUAUUUAGGUAGCGCCUCGUGAAUUCAUCUCCGGGGGUAGAGCACUGUUUCGGCUAGGGGGCCAUCCCGGCUUACCAACCCGAUGCAAACUGCGAAUACCGGAGAAUGUUAUCACGGGAGACACACGGCGGGUGCUAACGUCCGUCGUGAAGAGGGAAACAACCCAGACCGCCAGCUAAGGUCCCAAAGUCAUGGUUAAGUGGGAAACGAUGUGGGAAGGCCCAGACAGCCAGGAUGUUGGCUUAGAAGCAGCCAUCAUUUAAAGAAAGCGUAAUAGCUCACUGGUCGAGUCGGCCUGCGCGGAAGAUGUAACGGGGCUAAACCAUGCACCGAAGCUGCGGCAGCGACGCUGAUGCGUUGUUGGGUAGGGGAGCGUUCUGUAAGCCUGCGAAGGUGGCCUGUGAGGGUUGCUGGAGGUAUCAGAAGUGCGAAUGCUGACAUAAGUAACGAUAAAGCGGGUGAAAAGCCCGCUCGCCGGAAGACCAAGGGUUCCUGUCCAACGUUAAUCGGGGCAGGGUGAGUCGACCCCUAAGGCGAGGCCGAAAGGCGUAGUCGAUGGGAAACGGGUUAAUAUUCCCGUACUUGGUGUUACUGCGAAGGGGGGACGGAGAAGGCUAUGUUGGCCGGGCGACGGUUGUCCCGGUUUAAGCGUGUAGGUGUGUGUUCCAGGUAAAUCCGGUUCACUUUAACACUGAGGCGUGACGACGAGGCACUACGGUGCUGAAGCAACAAAUGCCCUGCUUCCAGGAAAAGCCUCUAAGCAUCAGGUAACAUCAAAUCGUACCCCAAACCGACACAGGUGGUCAGGUAGAGAAUACCAAGGCGCUUGAGAGAACUCGGGUGAAGGAACUAGGCAAAAUGGUGCCGUAACUUCGGGAGAAGGCACGCUGACACGUAGGUGAAGUGAUUUACUCAUGGAGCUGAAGUCAGUCGAAGAUACCAGCUGGCUGCAACUGUUUAUUAAAAACACAGCACUGUGCAAACACGAAAGUGGACGUAUACGGUGUGACGCCUGCCCGGUGCCGGAAGGUUAAUUGAUGGGGUCAGCGCAAGCGAAGCUCCUGAUCGAAGCCCCGGUAAACGGCGGCCGUAACUAUAACGGUCCUAAGGUAGCGAAAUUCCUUGUCGGGUAAGUUCCGACCUGCACGAAUGGCGUAAUGAUGGCCAGGCUGUCUCCACCCGAGACUCAGUGAAAUUGAACUCGCUGUGAAGAUGCAGUGUACCCGCGGCAAGACGGAAAGACCCCGUGAACCUUUACUAUAGCUUGACACUGAACAUUGAGCCUUGAUGUGUAGGAUAGGUGGGAGGCUUUGAAGCGUGGACGCCAGUCUGCGUGGAGCCGACCUUGAAAUACCACCCUUUAAUGUUUGAUGUUCUAACGUGGACCCGU
Molecule: ribosomal RNA, 1545 nt
Filed under: Salmonella enterica subsp. enterica serovar Ibadan
Lineage: Bacteria; Pseudomonadati; Pseudomonadota; Gammaproteobacteria; Enterobacterales; Enterobacteriaceae
Description: partial 23S ribosomal RNA
Rfam family: Bacterial large subunit ribosomal RNA
Source: RNAcentral